Molecule: ribosomal RNA, 305 nt
Filed under: Escherichia coli
Lineage: Bacteria; Pseudomonadati; Pseudomonadota; Gammaproteobacteria; Enterobacterales; Enterobacteriaceae
Description: partial 16S ribosomal RNA
Rfam family: Bacterial small subunit ribosomal RNA
Source: RNAcentral
AAAUUGAAGAGUUUGAUCAUGGCUCAGAUUGAACGCUGGCGGCAGGCCUAACACAUGCAAGUCGAACGGUAACAGAAAGCAGCUUGCUGCUUUGCUGACGAGUGGCGGACGGGUGAGUAAUGUCUGGGAAACUGCCUGAUGGAGGGGGAUAACUACUGGAAACGGUAGCUAAUACCGCAUAACGUCGCAAGACCAAAGAGGGGGACCUUCGGGCCUCUUGCCAUCGGAUGUGCCCAGAUGGGAUUAGCUUGUUGGUGGGGUAACGGCUCACCAAGGCGACGAUCCCUAGCUGGUCUGAGAGGAUG